UUGUACAUUUUCCGAUCGUUGCGGCAGAGUGAGAGAGGGCAACCGAGAGAUCCUCAAUGGGGAGAGUGAGAAAAGAAGCACAUCGCAUAUACAACUCAAAAUGAAAUUGGUCCCGAGCAGUGUGCCAAGGUGUCGGUAUCUCGGUGUAUUGAGUGACAUCACACUUGUCCCGACCAAGAAAUCCGAGUGCAUCAGCACGAGAGAUUCACUGAAGAGGUAUAUGGGGCGCCUUCUUAAAUAACACAAAAAAAAACAAGCAGAGAUUCAAAAAAAAAUGAGAAGAAGAGCAGAAACGAUGAGUAUCCCAAAUGUCUCUUAGUCACUAACACGCAUGAUGCUACAGAAUUAUACAAAAAAAAAUGUCUUGAUAUGUACUUCCUCGCACAAGCGAUAAAUUCUUCCACGUUGCCUCACUAUCAUUUUGUGACGGAUUGAUAAGAGAAACGAUUUUGCAAUCAACAUUAUGCCAAACAAGAGUAAGAGGCGACAUUUUUGCUGUCUCGCAUAGCGCACACAAGCCUUUUCGGUUAUCACCAACUCUCCCGCCAAUUGAAAUCGUUUAUCUUCAAUAGAUCUUCUCCAAUGAUAACAUCAACCAAUUUGCACUCUCGCAGUUCUUUUCCUUUGUUGGUGAAACGCAUUGAAAUUCUAUAUAAUCGCAAAAAAGACGCCACACACAAGUUGAUUGUACUAUACCAAAAUAUUCCACCUUUACAGCCAAUCAAGUGUGGGAGCAUUUAGUAAAGCAUAUAUAUUAUAUUUGUUAGGCACGAGGCCUAAUUGAGAGUGAUGAAUUCAUCUAAACUCAAGACAAUCUGUAGUUAUUUUGAUUUUUUGUGUCGCCAAUUGAUUAAAAAUUCUUUUAAAAAAAAUUAUAAACUUCUAUUUAUUUUAUUCUUUGCAUAAUUGAUAAAUAGUCGAGCAGGGAUUGACCAAUGAAUAAGAAAGUUUGUUUUAAAGAAAAAUUUUGAUUGGGUGAUAAAUCCUAGAUAAAAUCAACUCAUAGGCUACUUUUGGUAAGUUCUAUGUCAACACCUAAGGAAUGAGGAGCCUCGGUUCAAAGUUAAUUUGAACAGGAUAUAUGGAAAGAGAUUGAUGAUUGAACUUGAAAAAGAAAAAAAAUCAAGAACUUAUCGAACUCAACAUUAGCCUGACUGAGAACUAUCAUUAAAAGCACAUAAAUUCUUAAUUCGAUUGACAUGAAAUGCAAUUUAGUGGAGAACGAGAUCUUGUAUAAAAAGCUACAAAAUCAAUUUCUAACCCUAUCCAUCAGAACUUCGUCUCAAGAACUAGAUUUUUUCUUACAAAAUAUUUACCUAAUCCAAAUUCUCAUUUUGCAUAAAACACUAUAGCUGCCGAAUGUUUACAUUAAGAGCACGUUGCAAAAAGCUCCACAAUUAUAAUUGAAUCGUAUCCGACACAUGAGAGACAUUAUUGAAAUUUAUGCGAACCUAAACAUGUUCUUGAACCUGCGGUGUGUAAACAUGGACUUAAGUAGUUGGCCACCGGCUAAUAUGUAAUGGAAUCUCUUAUAGCGCAAAUUAGAUAGGUGGGAGAAAAUAAAGCUGCACCUGUAUUUACAAAUUCGCAACGAUGUUCAGGCUCAAUUAACACGAAAAUACGCAAAGAUAAUGCCUUUUCUUCUAUUGGCAUUACUCACGAGAUAGAUUCGCCCGAGCCUCCAACGCCUAAAAAAUAUCGAAUUAAAGGCUGGGCAAAUCAAUAUAUCCAGAGCACAAGGUUUUUCGCGGCAAUCCUUUGGAUAUGUGACGACCAACCACAUUUUAUGUGAAAAUUCUGAGCAUUUUUAUCAUUUUACAAUACCCGUAUAGCAUUUCUUCCUACAAAUGAUUCACAUAGUUAAAGAACAAAAAAAGAGAGGCCACGUUGUAAACUUUUGCGGAACUUUCAUCAGAAAUAUUAUACAUUUCGAACGUCCCAUUACUCAACGUUCAAUUAGUAAGUGUAGGAGCAAUUUAAUAUGAUUGUCGUGAAAACAUUCUAAGUGAUUUAAUAAAAAGCAUUGUUACCAGUCACACUAUUUGGUCGCGGUAUUAAAUUUCAUGCAACAUCAAUCAAAUUAUCCACAUAGUCCACACCUUCUUUCUCACACAUAACAGAGAGAACGCGAAUACAUAAAAAAAAGUUCCUCAUUUGCUCUAUUUAAAGCAAGUUUGUACUGAAACUUUAAAUGAAUAAAAAAAAAUUAGAGAGGAAUUUAUCAAAAUCGGAUUAAUUGUCCUUUGUAGGCCUGAUGAAGAGGGAAUAAAACUUUCAAAACGUCAUAUUUAAAUUGGUUGAGAAACAGCUAAAUCGUACUACGUCACAAACAGGUGGAGCCUCAGUGCAAAGUUAAUUUAAACAGAAUUUAAGUAAAAAUUUUCCACAAAGAGAAAAUUAUGUAGUGCUCAAGACAAUCCUAAUUGGUUGAAUUUGUUUGACUUCUUGACACAUUAAAUUGGCAAAAAAUGAG
Lutzomyia longipalpis is the source of this 2473-nucleotide long non-coding RNA. RefSeq lists it as uncharacterized. Lineage: Eukaryota; Metazoa; Arthropoda; Insecta; Diptera; Psychodidae. The record is from RefSeq and is a predicted model, not a curated record. The transcript has 2 exons.